This 552-nucleotide ribosomal RNA is filed under the name Octospora cf. fissidentis. RNAcentral describes it as "partial large subunit ribosomal RNA". It matches the Rfam family "Eukaryotic large subunit ribosomal RNA", at positions 87 to 651 of the family's 3401-position model. The record is from RNAcentral. Lineage: Eukaryota; Fungi; Ascomycota; Pezizomycetes; Pezizales; Pyronemataceae.
CUGCGAGUGAAGCGGCAAAAGCUCAAAUUUGAAAUCUGGCGCCCUUCGGGCGUCCGAGUUGUAAUUUGGAGGAGCGUCUUCGGGAGCGGCACCGUCCUAAGUUCCGUGGAACCGGACGUCACAGAGGGUGAGAAUCCCGUGCCUGGGCGGCCGUCCGUUCCCAUAUGCGAAGUGCUUCCGACGAGUCGAGUUGUUUGGGAAUGCAGCUCAAAAUGGGUGGUAAAUUUCAUCUAAAGCUAAAUAUUGGCGAGAGACCGAUAGCGCACAAGUAGAGUGAUCGAAAGAUGAAAAGCACUUUGAAAAGAGAGUUAAAAAGUACGUGAAAUUGUUGAAAGGGAAGCGCUUGAGAUCAAACUCGGUCGUUGGUGAAGCUGCGAGCUCGCUCGAAGCCGCUCGCCUUUGACCGGGCCAGCAUCGGUUUCGGCGGCGGGAGAAACGGCGGGGGAAUGUGGCUCCUUUCGGGGAGUGUUAUAGCCCCCGCAAAAUACCGCCAGCCGGGACCGAGGACCGCGCUUCGGCUAGGAUGCUGGCGUAAUGGUCUUAAGCGACCCG